UUUUUUUGUUUGAGCUAGUUAAAUGAAUGGUUAUUUUCAAAUCCAGUCAAAAUUCAGAAUGGCUAGUGUUGACUGAACUAAUUAAGACAAAUCAGGUAAGUAUGUGGACUUAUGACAGCUAUGUUUCCUGACAACAAAAUGCUCAUAAUAUUACUGUUAUUUGGUCACAAAAUGUAAUUGUAAGAGUUGCUCAGGCGUGAAUGUAUGUGCUUAAAGUUUAAAUAUGCGGUCGGUUAAUAAAGAUAGCGUCUAUUUAAAAAUGUGCUCGGACACUUUCGGACGUAGAUGAGCUCCAUACUCAUAUGGAGAAUCACUCCAGAAAAUCACAGACACUUAAGCGCUCACACCCCGCCCAGCGCAGCCUCUCCUCGGCAAGCCCAUCAGACUGCUGGGUCUGAUAUCUCUGACUCUGUGGCGUUUAAACAUGUGAUUUAAUUCAUUUUGAUUUCUCAUACUUAACAAUGAAAGGGUUAUGUUUUAAAUCAUAUUUUAGGAUUGCACUUAAUUGAUAUUGCUGUUGAGUGAUGUUUCAUAUCUUUUAAAUUUGUUAUAACCGGACUGCAUGCGAAUUUGAACUUCAGAGCUGAGGAAGCGGGUGGAGAAAUAGUCCCAAUAUCAUAACAAUCUUAAAUAAAACUUCUAAAUAUGCCCGUGUGUGUACCCGUGUGCGCGCGCGCGUGCGCGCGACCCGCUCACGCGCGCGUGUGUAUGUACAGUAUGUGCGUGAGUUUUUAAUUUAAAAUGUCUUAACUUAACUCGGAAGGAUCUGAAUCACAGGUCAUUUCAUCUGAGAUCAUUCCGCAUGUAACAACCGGAAUCACUCACUGUUUCCCACAACGACACGAGUCAUCAGCCGUUUCCUCAAGGUCACGUCAGAGGGGUGGUGAUGUGGAGAGGCAGACCAGACCACCACCAUACGCGAAGAUGAGCCUCGAGGCUUGACAGUUAUUUUUUCAAACUGAGGAGUUCGGACUCCGGACCGUCAUUUCUGCUUGUUUGUACCCUGAGAUAACCAUGGUUAAUAAAUGGUCAGACACGUCACUGGCUUUAAAAUAUAAACCCCAUUGAUGCAAAAAGAUGCUGCAUGGAAUGACAAUGUGGUUUGGAACAGACUUGGUGAAGAACAUGGAAACAUCUCUUAAUAAAAUGGCCCCAAACAUCAUCAGGAGUGCAAAAGAAGGAAGUAAAAACAUCUCUACGCCAAUCUCAUUGGAGAGGAAACCACAGAAGGUCUGGUGAGGAAUGCUGCACUUAUGUUAUUGCAAGCAUUAUUUCAAGAAAAUCCCAGCUUCCUUUACUGUGAACCCAAAGGUCCCACACCAACCAUAGUGUUCAACGGCUCUCCUGAUCUUCUCAAAUCUGAAAGUAUCAACUUUAUAAUGGACAAUGUGAACUAAAUAUGUGGAAGACAUUGACAUCACAGGCUGUGGAAUGACUGUGUCACAGGUCGGAGAAGCAGACCGCCCCUGUCGCGGAUCACGCUCCUCCUAGUUCCACCUCGAGGAGGUCCCAAAGCACCCCAAUGACCAGACAAACCAGAGAUAAGUAAAAUAUAGAAAUAGAAACUUUAUUUAAAUUAUUUAAAACUUAAGUGGGGAAUGAGAAAGGGAAUCUAAAAAUCUCGCUUCUCGUCCUCAGGGGGAGUAUUACGGGGCCAGGGACGUUGGAGGGGUUUCCACGUGACUCCAGCUGGAACACCGCUACAAAGCGUAUCUGGGUGGGUUGGGCACACACCGUCGCGGCGGCCCCUGAUGGCAUCCACAAGGGUCCAAGACCCUCCUAAGCUCCUAGCCGUAACAGAACUACGUAUUUCAGCACCCGAACGACUAACAACCCAGCCGGCAUCUGCAGCGUAUAUCCAACGCGAUCAAACUUCACUCUGACAAGUAACUUCCUAUACACAACCACGCCGUCCUUUCGCCCGGACCAGCCCCGCACUCUUUCCGCCCGCUACCUAGCGGUCGCCGGAUCAGCAGAGCCUGCGGACUCUUCGGAGGCUGGUCUUCGUUGUGCUGUCCAAGGCGAAAGUUGACUCGCCCGAAAAUCGACCCUUCCAGUAACUUCUACCUUCUCUCUUUAUAUCCUCCUCCCAGGCGUGGCUCGCCCAACCAUCGCUCGCCACGUCACUCACACAGCUGUGCCUUGUUUCAGCGAGUGCGGGGAUUCCCGGGGAACCCUGAAGUGCCGGUGUCUGUACAAACCGGUCCAGGCGGAACCUCUUCACUCUCCUUUUGGUUCCGCCCCGCAUAGUCACUCCGUGACAACUGUUUGCGUUUUUUUUUCUCCUCAAUGUUCAAUACCCUUUUGCCAUUAAGCACACAGUGACUUUAAUUUAUAAAAUAUAUGCUUAAGUUUUAAUACCUGUACAAAACAAAUGUACAAUCAACUUGUGUAAAUUGUCAUUCUAUUUAAUAGAUUGUUCAUGAAUUGUCUUUAAAUGCAUUGUGAUUUCGGUAACACUUUACAAUAAAGUUAAUUAGUUAACAUUAGUUAAUGUAUUAACUAACUUGAACAAACCAUAAGCAAUACAUUUGUUACAGUAUUUAUUCAUCUUUGUUAAUGUUAAUUAAUAAAAAUUUAAGCUUUAAUUGCUUGUUCAUGUUAGUUCAGAGUGCAUUAACUAAUGUUAACAAGAUUUUAAUCAAGUAAUUGUUGAAAUUAACAUUAACAAAGAUUAAUAAAGGCUGUAUAAGUGCAGUUCAUUAUUAGUUCAUGUUAACUAAUGUAGCUAACUAAUGUUAACUAAUGAACCUUAUUGUAAAGUGUUACCGUGAUUUCUUUUCAUCAUUUCAGACACAUGUAAAAGUUACUAAAAAUUAAUACUGCAUAUAGUGUACAGUAUCUAUGCGUAAGGGAAAUAACUUAAACAAAAUUUUUAAUGUAUAGUGUAAUUAAGAGUUUAGCUGUUUAAUACAGAGAUGCAAUUUAUUUAUAUAUAUUAUUUAUAUAUAAACGUAUGUAUGUUUAUUAAAAAGUGAAAAUGCUUAAUGGAAAUAAUUAAAUAACUAAAUGGUUGAAUGUAAUGAGACAUUUUAAAUGUAAACUAAAGUUUUGCUGUCUAAUACAGAAUAAAGAGAUGUGAUUUUAAGUAA
Misgurnus anguillicaudatus (oriental weatherfish) is the source of this 3092-nucleotide non-coding RNA. The record is from RefSeq and is a predicted model, not a curated record. Lineage: Eukaryota; Metazoa; Chordata; Actinopteri; Cypriniformes; Cobitidae.